GACGAACGCUGGCGGCGCGCUUAACACAUGCAAGUCGAACGGAAAGGCCUGCUUUCCCUUGUGGAUUGCGGGUACUCGAGUGGCGAACGGGUGAGUAACACGUGAGUGAUCUGCCCCCAACUUGGGUAUAAGCCUGGGAAACUGGGUCUAAUUCCCGAUAGGACUGCAGGGUGGUGCCUGUGGUGGAAAACGAUUUUCUAGUGGUUGGGGAUGAGCUCGCGGCCUAUCAGCUUGUUGGUGGGGUAAUGGCCUACCAAGGCGGCGACGGGUAGCCGGCCUGAGAGGGUGGACGGCCAGAUUGGGACUGAGAUACGGCCCAGACGCCUACGGGAGGCGGCAGUGGGGAAUAUUGCACAAUGGGCGGAAGCCUGAUGCAGCGACGCCGCGUGGGGGAUGACGGCCUUCGGGUUGUAAACUCCUUUCGACCGCGAGGAAGCCACCUGGUUGGAAGGGUGGUGACGGUAGUGGUAGAAGAAGCACCGGCUAACUACGUG
RNAcentral lists this ribosomal RNA (494 nucleotides) under uncultured bacterium. RNAcentral's name for it is "partial 16S ribosomal RNA". It matches the Rfam family "Bacterial small subunit ribosomal RNA", at positions 28 to 507 of the family's 1533-position model. The record is from RNAcentral.